This is a long non-coding RNA of Photinus pyralis (common eastern firefly), 474 nucleotides long. RefSeq lists it as uncharacterized. The transcript is spliced from 2 exons. NCBI's taxonomy places the organism in Eukaryota, Metazoa, Arthropoda, Insecta, Coleoptera, Lampyridae. The record is from RefSeq and is a predicted model, not a curated record.
ACCAGAUUGUGUUUGCGAUCAGAUAGAUUGUAAUGUCACAUAUAAAAUUUUGUUUGCCAAAUUUGUGAUAUCUCGCCAAAUGAAAGAGAUAUCGAGGCGACCCUCUUAUCUCAAACCCACUAUAUAUUAACAGAUUUUUUUGUUAAAUUAGCUGAAAAUAACAUUACUUUUGAAGAGGAACACAACACCGGACCAGCACCCUACUGCACAUUUGGAACAAAGCUCUUGAGCAAAGGACAGAAGUUUCGUUCUUCGGGAAAAUGGGGCAACUUGUCGUGUGAAUGUGUGCUACCGCCGUACGCUUCAUGUAAAAAAAUUUGAUUUAUUAUUUUUAUACUCUUUGAUUUAAUUCAUCUUUACAUGGUCGCAUUCCAGAAUAUACCUAAAGUAGAUGUUUUAUUCUUAAAGUUGCAAUGAAAUUGUUUUUUUUUGUUUUUGUUUGUGACUAUGGCUAUUAUAGUGUUGUAUAAGUUA